GACGAACGCUGGCGGCGUGCUUAACACAUGCGAGUCGAACGGAAAGGCCCUGCUUGCAGGGUACUCGAGUGGCGAACGGGUGAGUAACGCGUGGGUGAUCUGCCCUGCACUUCGGGAUAAGCCUGGGAAACUGGGUCUAAUACCGGAUAGGAGCCAUUUUUAGUGUGAUGGUUGGAAAGUUUUUUCGGUGUAGGAUGAGCUCGCGGCCUAUCAGCUUGUUGGUGGGGUAAUGGCCUACCAAGGCGGCGACGGGUAGCCGGCCUGAGAGGGUGGACGGCCACAUUGGGACUGAGAUACGGCCCAGACUCCUACGGGAGGCAGCAGUGGGGAAUAUUGCACAAUGGGCGCAAGCCUGAUGCAGCGACGCCGCGUGGGGGAUGACGGCCUUCGGGUUGUAAACUCCUUUCGCUAGGGACGAAGCUUUUUGUGACGGUACCUAGAUAAGAAGCACCGGCUAACUACGUG
This 465-nucleotide ribosomal RNA is filed under the name uncultured bacterium. RNAcentral describes it as "partial 16S ribosomal RNA". It matches the Rfam family "Bacterial small subunit ribosomal RNA", at positions 28 to 507 of the family's 1533-position model. The record is from RNAcentral.